This is an RNA transcript of Oryza sativa Japonica Group (Japanese rice), 2683 nucleotides long. It is a transcript of the gene named IAA-alanine resistance protein 1, with no coding region annotated. NCBI's taxonomy places the organism in Eukaryota, Viridiplantae, Streptophyta, Magnoliopsida, Poales, Poaceae. The record is from RefSeq and is a predicted model, not a curated record.
GUGGGUAUACUCGUCCUCCUCUUCGUGCUCGUCCUCGUCGUCACCAUCGAGGGCGUCUGCAAGCGCCGCUCCUCCUCCUGAUUCCGCCGCGGUCGCUAGCCCUAAUGCGCGGGGGCCUCCUCGUCCUGCUCCUCCUCACCGCGGCCGUCGCCGGCGGCGGCGGCCACGAGGGCUCCUCCUCCUGCCCCUUCCACGCCCACGACAAGCCCCACGAUGAUCACCACCACGGCCACGGCCACGGCCACGGCCACAGCUGCGGCGGCGGCGGGGACGACUCCCACCACGUGCACCAUCAUCACCAUGGGCAUGGGCAUGGCCAUGACGGCGGGAUCCAGCGGCGGCUUCUCCCCGAGGAGCUCGCGGAGGAGGCGGAUCUCGAGCUCGACUCCUUCGGCGAUCACCACCACCACCACCACCAUCACCAUGAACACCACCACCACGACCACCACCAUGGCCACGGCGACUUCCAGGCCGAGUUAUCACCCUUGGGUAUGUGGCUGAGUGCCAUGGGAUGCUCGCUUCUGGUCAGCAUGGCGUCGCUCGUCUGCCUCGUCCUGCUCCCAGUAAUCUUCUUCCAGGGGAAGCCGUCCAAGACCAUGGUGGAUUGCCUUGCCAUCUUCGGGGCAGGUGCGAUGCUUGGGGAUUCAUUUCUUCAUCAACUGCCACAUGCCUUUGGUGGAGGGCAUUCUCAUACACAUGAUCAUCAGAAUCAUAAUCAUUCUCAUGAGCAUUCACAUGCACACUCUCUGGAAGAUCUUUCUAUUGGUUUGUCUGUUCUAUUUGGCAUUGUGUUUUUCUUUAUUGUUGAGAAGAUUGUGAGGUAUGUGGAAGACAAUUCUCAGAAAGGGGCUCAUGGCAUGGGCCACCAUCAUCACCAUCAUAAACGACACGAUAGGAGCGACAAGGCCAAGUUGAAUCACGCAGAAAAGGAUCAUGAGGAUAAAGGCGUAAAUCAAGCAGAAAAGGAACCUUCGCAUGAUGGUGCAAUUGAGAAAACAGAUGGUGUAACUCGUGCUGAUUCAAAAUCUGCAAUCCGUAAGAGGGGCUUAUCUUCUGGUUCCAAUUCCGCUGAUAGAGAGCCUGUCAAUUCUGAAAGUGACCCUGCCCCUAACAAAGCAUUAUCAAGUGAAGAUUCCUCUGUUUCCAAUUCGAAUAUGGUGUUCGGCUACCUCAACCUUUUCUCAGAUGGUGUUCAUAACUUUACUGAUGGGAUGGCCCUAGGGAGUGCUUUUCUGCUACAUGGUUCUGUUGGAGGAUGGUCGAGAACUCUAUUUCUGCUUGCACAUGAACUUCCUCAAGAGGUCGGAGAUUUUGGUAUCCUGGUGCGCUCAGGAUUCACUGUAACUAAAGCCCUAUUUUUCAAUUUUCUCUCUGCGUUGGUUGCUCUUGCUGGAACAGCACUGGCAUUGUCUUUGGGAAAAGAUCCAGGGCAUUCUUCUUUGAUUGAGGGAUUCACUGCUGGUGGCUUUAUUUAUAUUGCUGUUGCUGGAGUCCUCCCAGAGAUGAAUGAUCAGAAAACAACCGUCAAAAGCUCGAUGAUUCAGUUGGUUUCCCUGACAAUGGGAAUGCUGGUUGCCCUCGGCAUAUCUCUAGUAGAAUGAUGACGGAAUUUCUGGUUGCAGCUUUAGGGCCUAUUGUACUUAAGCCAAGCGGGUAAUUCUUGAACAGCUCCAGCCUAUUUCAGAGAAGCUAAACUGUAAGUGAAGCCCUUUUUUUUAAUAUAGGGAAGAUGAUUAUAUCUUCGGUUUCUGCUCCACGGAUGCACUCAGCCACAGAGUAAGGUAAGGCAUUCGAGACAAUGUUUAAUCAGGUAGCUCGGCACAGUGGCACCAUCUCUAAAGAUUUCAUUGUUCUCCAAGUUCGAAUGAUGGCAAGAAUAACAAGCAUCACUACUCACUAGUAGAUAUGAGUACCUCUUACAAUAAAACACAUCCCUGUUGGCAUCAACGGUAGAUGUGAGUAUGUGACCCAUGACAGAAUUAGUGGUAAGCACUGAAUGGAACCAUGGAAGUGCUGCGUUCAUGGGCGUCUCAGGCUCUGAGUCUGCCAUCUUGAUUCCAGACAUCGCCUUUCUAGUUUUUCUAGUUUCUGCACUGCUCCAAUAGUAACUUCCCACAUGGAACUGAUCACUGAUGAAGCAGACCGUUCGGUAAAUCGACGGUGGUCACCCACCGGCGUCACCGGCAGGCUCGACCGGGAGAUAUGCCGAUGGUCCUCCUCCCCCACCGGUUGAUCUACCUCAGGUACAGUGCUGUCUCCCAACACAUAAAUGUUGUGCAGGGGUAGAGAGCCCAUGGCAGAGAACGGAUAUGAAGGAUCUCCAAUAAUUGCGUGUGUCGUCAGGGGGGAGGGGGGCAACAGCAACAUGGUGGUCACGUUCUCGUGGAUCCAAAACUCAAAUAUAGGUAUAGACGCCAAAAGAACAAUGAAAUGUGUCCUUCAACCUUACUCUAUUUUAGCCUCACUUUUUUUUAAGUGCUUAGAGCAUCUUUAAGAGAGUUAUCAAAAUUGGCUCUCAUAUAUUCAUAUAAAGAUCAGUCUCUCCAUAAUACUCUCUCCAUCUCUUUCUUCACACUCCAACUGACUCCAUCCCACUCUCCAUGUUCUAAUGGACAUAUUUAUAAGGGUUAUGAUUUAAUCCAAAUAAGUUGUAACAGUAAUGGAUUGUAGAUGCUUUGAUGAA